UGAGGAAUAUUGGUCAAUGGUCGCGAGACUGAACCAGCCAAGUAGCGUGCAGGAUGACGGCCCUCCGGGUUGUAAACUGCUUUUAUUGGGGAAUAAAGUGAGGCACGUGUGCCUUUUUGUAUGUACCCAUAUGAAUAAGCAUCGGCUAAUUCCGUGCCAGCAGCCGCGGUAAUACGGAAGAUGCGAGCGUUAUCCGGAUUUAUUGGGUUUAAAGGGAGCGUAGGCGGGACGGUAAGUCAGCGGUCAAAUGUCCGUGCUCAACGCGGUCAUGCCGUUGAAACUGUCGUUCUUGAGUGCAUGCGGGGAAAGUGGAAUUCGUGGUGUAGCGGUGAAAUGCUUAGAUAUCACGAAGAACUCCGAUAGCGAAGGCAUCUUUCCGGCCUGCAACUGACGCUGAGGCUCGAAAGUGCGGGGAUCAAACAGG
Molecule: ribosomal RNA, 424 nt
Filed under: uncultured Prevotellaceae bacterium
Lineage: Bacteria; Pseudomonadati; Bacteroidota; Bacteroidia; Bacteroidales; Prevotellaceae
Description: bacterial SSU rRNA
Rfam family: Bacterial small subunit ribosomal RNA
Source: RNAcentral